CCUACGGGCGGCAGCAGUGAGGAAUAUUGGUCAAUGGCCGGAAGGCUGAACCAGCCAUGCCGCGUGAAGGUCAGUGCCCUAUGGGCGUUAAACUUCUUUUGUGCGGGAGCAAUAAUGGUCACGUGUGGCCAGACGAGAGUACCGUACGAAUAAGCAUCGGCUAACUCCGUGCCAGCAGCCGCGGUAAUACGGGGGAUGCAAGCGUUAUCCGGGUUUAUUGGGUUUAAAGGGUGCGUAGGCUGUGAGGUAAGUCAGCGGUGAAAUGCCCCCGCUCAACGGGGUGAAGUGCCAUUGAUACUGCCUGGCUGGAAUGCGGAUGCGGUGGGAGGAAUGUGUGGUGUAGCGGUGAAAUGCAUAGAUAUCACACAGAACACCGAUUGCGAAGGCAUCUCACGAAUCCGCGAUUGACGCUGAUGCACGAAAGCGUGGGUAUCAAACAGGAUUAGAUACCCGAGUAGUC
RNAcentral lists this ribosomal RNA (460 nucleotides) under uncultured bacterium. RNAcentral's name for it is "partial 16S ribosomal RNA". It matches the Rfam family "Bacterial small subunit ribosomal RNA", at positions 338 to 795 of the family's 1533-position model. The record is from RNAcentral.